Molecule: ribosomal RNA, 580 nt
Filed under: uncultured bacterium
Lineage: Bacteria
Description: bacterial SSU rRNA
Rfam family: Bacterial small subunit ribosomal RNA
Source: RNAcentral
ACGGGUGAGUAACACGUGGAUAACCUACCUAUAAGACUGGGAUAACUUCGGGAAACCGGAGCUAAUACCUGAUAACAUAUUGAACCGCAUGGUUCAAUAGUGAAAGGCGGCUUUGCUGUCACUUAUAGAUGGAUCCGCGCCGUAUUAGCUAGUUGGUAAGGUAACGGCUUACCAAGGCAACGAUACGUAGCCGACCUGAGAGGGUGAUCGGCCACACUGGAACUGAGACACGGUCCAGACUCCUACGGGAGGCAGCAGUAGGGAAUCUUCCGCAAUGGGCGAAAGCCUGACGGAGCAACGCCGCGUGAGUGAUGAAGGUCUUCGGAUCGUAAAACUCUGUUAUCAGGGAAGAACAAAUGUGUAAGUAACUGUGCACAUCUUGACGGUACCUGAUCAGAAAGCCACGGCUAACUACGUGCCAGCAGCCGCGGUAAUACGUAGGUGGCAAGCGUUAUCCGGAAUUAUUGGGCGUAAAGCGCGCGUAGGCGGUUUUUUAAGUCUGAUGUGAAAGCCCACGGCUCAACCGUGGAGGGUCAUUGGAAACUGGAAAACUUGAGUGCAGAAGAGGAAAGUGGAAUUC